This 482-nucleotide ribosomal RNA is filed under the name uncultured bacterium. RNAcentral's name for it is "partial 16S ribosomal RNA". It matches the Rfam family "Bacterial small subunit ribosomal RNA", at positions 30 to 507 of the family's 1533-position model. The record is from RNAcentral.
AUUGAACGCUGGCGGCAUGCCUUACACAUGCAAGUCGAACGGUAACGGGCCUUCGGGUGCCGACGAGUGGCGAACGGGUGAGUAAUACAUCGGAACGUGCCCGAUCGUGGGGGAUAACGAGGCGAAAGCUUUGCUAAUACCGCAUACGAUCUACGGAUGAAAGCAGGGGACCGCAAGGCCUUGCGCGGACGGAGCGGUCGAUGGCAGAUUAGGUAGUUGGUGGGAUAAAAGCUUACCAAGCCGACGAUCUGUAGCUGGUCUGAGAGGAUGAUCAGCCACACUGGGACUGAGACACGGCCCAGACUCCUACGGGAGGCAGCAGUGGGGAAUUUUGGACAAUGGGCGCAAGCCUGAUCCAGCCAUGCCGCGUGCAGGAUGAAGGCCUUCGGGUUGUAAACUGCUUUUGUACGGAACGAAAAGCCUUCUUUUAAUACAGGAGGGUCAUGACGGUACCGUAAGAAUAAGCACCGGCUAACUACGUG